Non-coding RNA from Phrynosoma platyrhinos (Desert horned lizard), 72 nucleotides. The record is from the annotation of a GenBank genome assembly. Lineage: Eukaryota; Metazoa; Chordata; Lepidosauria; Squamata; Phrynosomatidae.
GCCCAUGUGGCGUAGUGGUUUGAGUGUUGGCCUAUGACUUAGGAGAUCAGGGUUCGAUUCCCUGCUUGAUCA